UACGUGGGGUGCAAGCGUUGUCCGGAAUUAUUGGGCGUAAAGAGCUCGUAGGCGGUCUGUCGCGUCUGCUGUGAAAACUCAGGGCUUAACCCUGAGCUUGCAGUGGGUACGGGCAGACUAGAGUGCGGUAGGGGAGACUGGAAUUCCUGGUGUAGCGGUGAAAUGCGCAGAUAUCAGGAGGAACACCGGUGGCGAAGGCGGAUCUCUGGGCCUUACCUGACGCUCAGGUGCGAAAGCUAGGGGAGCGAACAGG
RNAcentral lists this ribosomal RNA (253 nucleotides) under uncultured bacterium. RNAcentral describes it as "partial 16S ribosomal RNA". It matches the Rfam family "Bacterial small subunit ribosomal RNA", at positions 524 to 776 of the family's 1533-position model. The record is from RNAcentral.